Molecule: long non-coding RNA, 423 nt
Filed under: Ananas comosus (pineapple)
Lineage: Eukaryota; Viridiplantae; Streptophyta; Magnoliopsida; Poales; Bromeliaceae
Description: long non-coding RNA (ACOM_LNC016470)
Source: RNAcentral
AUUGAUGCCUAAUAGAGCUGUACAAUAUUUCACACUUUCUUACUAUAAUACCGUAUGGUUUAAAGUGUAUCAAUUUACUACUAUGUGUUUAUUUUUUUUCAUUCCACAAAUUUAUUUUCGUUAAAUCAGCGACAAAAUUAAAACUAAAGUAUACUAAAGAGAAUAUUCGAUAAACCUAAGUAUGAACAGUGGCCAAAGGAAUUAUGCCGAAAUUAGGAGUGUUGAUGCCACUGUAAUUUUGGAACAUUGUAAUUUUGUUAUAUCGACUGUUAAAAAAUUGGAUUGGUUAAUGCGAUAAAAUUUUACACUUGCCAUAGGGAAAAAAAAAUAUAGAAAAGGUGCUUGAAAAACAAAAUGGUGGGGCAAAUGUGAAACCAUAAAGGUGGUAUUUGAAGUUUUUUAAAUCAUGCGAAAUUUUAAUUU